This is a small nuclear RNA of Euleptes europaea (tarantolino), 104 nucleotides long. Lineage: Eukaryota; Metazoa; Chordata; Lepidosauria; Squamata; Sphaerodactylidae. The record is from RefSeq and is a predicted model, not a curated record.
GUGCUAGCUUCGGCAGCACGUAUACUAAAAUUGGGACGAUACAGAGAAGAUUAGCAUGGCCCCUGCACAAGGAUACAACAACGUGAUAGCUCAUUUAAUAACUU